ACGCUCCUACGGGACGCAGCAGUAGGGAAUAUUGCUCAAUGGGGGAAACCCUGAAGCAGCAACGCCGCGUGAGUGAUGACGGCCUUCGGGUUGUAAAGCUCUGUCUUCAGGCACGAUAAUGACGGUACCUGAGGAGGAAGCCACGGCUAACUACGUGCCAGCAGCCGCGGUAAUACGUAGGUGGCGAGCGUUGUCCGGAUUUACUGGGCGUAAAGGGAGCGUAGGCGGACUUUUAAGUGAGAUGUGAAAUACUCGGGCUCAACUUGAGUGCUGCAUUUCAAACUGGAAGUCUAGAGUGCAGGAGG
RNAcentral lists this ribosomal RNA (305 nucleotides) under uncultured bacterium. RNAcentral's name for it is "bacterial SSU rRNA". It matches the Rfam family "Bacterial small subunit ribosomal RNA", at positions 333 to 655 of the family's 1533-position model. The record is from RNAcentral.